This 494-nucleotide ribosomal RNA is filed under the name uncultured bacterium. Its description in RNAcentral is "partial 16S ribosomal RNA". It matches the Rfam family "Bacterial small subunit ribosomal RNA", at positions 28 to 507 of the family's 1533-position model. The record is from RNAcentral.
GACGAACGCUGGCGGCGUGCUUAACACAUGCAAGUCGAACGGUGAAGCGCCUUCCUUUUUGGUGGGUGUGGAUGAGUGGCGAACGGGUGAGUAACACGUGAGCAACCUGCCCCCUUCUUCUGGAUAACCGCAUGAAAGUGUGGCUAAUACGGGAUAUUCUGGGUCUGUCGCAUGAUGGGUCUGGGAAAGAUAUUGUUUCGGUGGGGGAUGGGCUCGCGGCCUAUCAGCUUGUUGGUGGGGUGAUGGCCUACCAAGGCGGUGACGGGUAGCCGGCCUGAGAGGGUGGACGGUCACACUGGGACGGAGACACGGCCCAGACUCCUACGGGAGGCAGCAGUGGGGAAUAUGGCACAAUGGGCGCAAGCCUGAUGCAGCGACGCCGCGUGAGGGAUGGAGGCCUUCGGGUUGUGAACCUCUUUCGCCAGUGAAGCAGGCCUGCCUCGUUUGUGGGUGGGUUGACGGUAGCUGGAUAAGAAGCGCCGGCUAACUACGUG